This 301-nucleotide ribosomal RNA is filed under the name uncultured bacterium. Its description in RNAcentral is "partial 16S ribosomal RNA". It matches the Rfam family "Bacterial small subunit ribosomal RNA", at positions 509 to 807 of the family's 1533-position model. The record is from RNAcentral.
CAGCAGCCGCGGGAAUACGAAGGGGGCUAGCGUUGCUCGGAAUGACUGGGCGUAAAGGGCGCGUAGGCGGAUCACGCAGUCAGAUGUGAAAUUCCUGGGCUUAACCUGGGGGCUGCAUUUGAGACGCGUGGUCUAGAGUGUGAAAGAGGGUCGUGGAAUUCCCAGUGUAGAGGUGAAAUUCGUAGAUAUUGGGAAGAACACCGGUGGCGAAGGCGGCGACCUGGUUCAUGACUGACGCUGAGGCGCGAAAGCGUGGGGAGCAAACAGGAUUAGAUACCCCCGUAGUCCCUGUCUCUUAUAC